UGUUAAAAGUUUUAUCCAUUUCUAUUAUUAAAAACUAGCAUAGUUGACGAAAUAACCAAACAAACUACACGUGGUUUGCCAUGUGUACAACAUGUUGACACAUAGAAGCCAGUUUUUAAUAGUAAAAAUAAUGAAAUUUUUAAUA
Molecule: non-coding RNA, 145 nt
Organism: Gossypium raimondii (Peruvian cotton)
Lineage: Eukaryota; Viridiplantae; Streptophyta; Magnoliopsida; Malvales; Malvaceae
Source: Rfam